CUAUGGAGAAUCGUUUCCCGCAGCGGAAACAUUCAAAUCGGAAGCKAAGCUUCCAAAACUCAGGUUUAGGCCUGUUGCUCACUCGUUGCUCAGUUUUGAGAGCUCAAACUCUCAACUCUUGAUCCUUGAAAACUGGAUAYCGAAACGAAAAUUGCGUUUUAGAACAUCUUUUAGCUGAACUUGUGUCAAGCGAUUGAUCAAGUGAAGAUAAAGUGCUUAAUU
Molecule: unclassified non-coding RNA, 222 nt
Filed under: Paenibacillus fujiensis
Lineage: Bacteria; Bacillati; Bacillota; Bacilli; Caryophanales; Paenibacillaceae
Source: RNAcentral